This 425-nucleotide ribosomal RNA is filed under the name uncultured bacterium. RNAcentral's name for it is "partial 16S ribosomal RNA". It matches the Rfam family "Bacterial small subunit ribosomal RNA", at positions 354 to 796 of the family's 1533-position model. The record is from RNAcentral.
GUGGGGAAUCUUGCGCAAUGGGCGAAAGCCUGACGCAGCCAUGCCGCGUGAAUGAUGAAGGUCUUAGGAUUGUAAAAUUCUUUCACCGGGGACGAUAAUGACGGUACCCGGAGAAGAAGCUCCGGCUAACUUCGUGCCAGCAGCCGCGGUAAUACGAAGGGGGCUAGCGUUGCUCGGAUUUACUGGGCGUAAAGGGCGCGUAGGCGGACAUUUAAGUCAGGGGUGAAAUCCCGGGGCUCAACCUCGGAACUGCCUUUGAUACUGGGUGUCUUGAGUAUGAGAGAGGUGUGUGGAACUCCGAGUGUAGAGGUGAAAUUCGUAGAUAUUCGGAAGAACACCAGUGGCGAAGGCGACACACUGGCUCAUUACUGACGCUGAGGCGCGAAAGCGUGGGGAGCAAACAGGAUUAGAUACCCGAGUAGUCC